GGCUUCCUAGCUCAGCUGGAAGAGCAUCGCACCGGUAUCGCGGAGGUCACGGGUUUGACUCCCGUUGAGGCCC
RNAcentral lists this transfer RNA (73 nucleotides) under Acropora cervicornis. RNAcentral's name for it is "tRNA-Thr". It matches the Rfam family "tRNA". From Rfam's summary of the family: Transfer RNA (tRNA) molecules are approximately 80 nucleotides in length. Lineage: Eukaryota; Metazoa; Cnidaria; Anthozoa; Scleractinia; Acroporidae. The record is from RNAcentral.